This is a non-coding RNA of Lupinus albus (white lupine), 223 nucleotides long. The record is from the annotation of a GenBank genome assembly. Lineage: Eukaryota; Viridiplantae; Streptophyta; Magnoliopsida; Fabales; Fabaceae.
UUUUUCAUAAAGAUGAAACUUUGACACAUACUUUGUUGUUUUUCUUUAUUUAAUCUGUGAUUCUAUCGUGUUUUCUGCGAAAUACUUUGCAUGCAUAUGAUCAGCUUCUUCAAGGUAAACAUAUUUUUCUUUAUUUUUCGUUUAUAUUGAUUUAUAUAUUCUUGAAGAUGACUUUCAUGGUUGCAUGUUAAUGUUUUGUUUCGGAUCUGGAAUAAUUUGUCUC